This 76-nucleotide transfer RNA is filed under the name Dictyobacter arantiisoli. Its description in RNAcentral is "tRNA-Trp". It matches the Rfam family "tRNA". From Rfam's summary of the family: Transfer RNA (tRNA) molecules are approximately 80 nucleotides in length. Their secondary structure includes four short double-helical elements and three loops (D, anti-codon, and T loops). The record is from RNAcentral. Lineage: Bacteria; Bacillati; Chloroflexota; Ktedonobacteria; Ktedonobacterales; Dictyobacteraceae.
UAGGGGAGUAGCUCAAUGGUAGAGUCCACGUCUCCAAAACGUGUUGUUGCAGGUUCGAGUCCUGUCUCCCCUGUCC